CUGGGAGAGGGCCUGCUUAUUGACAGGGUGCUCUGGAGGCACAGAAAGAAAUAAUAAUAAUGAUAAUAGUGGUGAUGAUGAUGAUGAUUAAUAAUAGGCCGAGCAGGGCUGAACUGCUCUGGAGGCAGAGAAAGAACUAAUAAUGAUGAUAAUAUUAGUGAUGAUAAUAUUAAUAAUUAAUAAUAGGCCGAGCAGAGGGAAGGGGGUGCUGGGCAAGGGCCUGCUUAGUAACAGGGGGCUCUGGAGGCAGAGAAAGAACUAAUGAUGAUGAUGAUGAUGAUGAUGAUGAUAUGAAUUAAUAAUAGGCUGAGCAGGGGGAAGGAGUGGCUAGGCGAGGGCCUGCUUAUUGACAGGGAGCUCUAGAGGCAGAGAAAGAAAUAAUCGCAAUAACAAUAAUAAUACACUGGAUCAAGCUAAAAACAUCCAUUAUUGCAGCCUGUUACAAACUAUUGGAUACCAAAGCAAGAAACACCAGGACUGGUUUGAUGAGAAUGACAGUGAGAUUGAACGCAUGAUUGACAAGAAAAGGAAGGCCUUUCAGAUCUGGCAAAGAGAUAGAUACUGUGUCACUAAGAAAAAAACCUAUGCCAACGCUAAGGCUGAGGUUCAAAGAAGAACCAGAGAACUAAAAAACACCUGGUGAAUAAAAAAAAGCUUAAGAGAUCCAGCACUUAGCCAACACUCAUUAUGCACAGAGUUUCUUUAAAGCCGCAAAGAAAACCUAUGGGCCAAUAAAUCAUGGCAUACGCUCAACAGAUGGUAUCACACUUCUAAAAGAUAAAUAAGUUAUUGCAUUGCGCUGGAAAGAAUAUUACCAACAUCUCCUUAAUCACAACUACCCCAUACCUGCUUAAGUCCUCUCACAAAUCCCGCAAAAACAAAUUAGAGAUGAGCUUGCAGUAUGUCCAAAUCUGGGAGAGUUGUUUACAGCUACUAACCAAAUGAAAAACAACAAAGCCAGUGGAUCUGAUGGGAUACCUGCCCAAAUCUUCAAAGCGGGCGGAAUUGGAAUUACACAACAACUUCACAUAGAAACAGAAAUCGUGAGGCGGUGGCACAGCAACAGUGGAAGGCCCCAUUAGCUAAAGUGGUGCUUCAGGUUAAGUACAGUUUCAGGUUAAGAACGGACCUCCAGAAAGAAUUAAGUUCUUAACCCGAGGUGCCACUGUAUAAGCACUGACAACUUGGAAACACUGGCCUGCGAGUGCUCCAGUCGGAGAACAGCCUUUACAAAAAGUGUCAUGGUCUUUGAAGACACUCGAACUCUGGACGCAAGGGAGAAAUGUGCUAGAAGAAAGAUCAGCUCCUGCCCGGAAACCAAUGUCCCCACUGUGGACGGACAUGUGGAUCCAGAAUUGGCCUCCACAGUCUCUUACGGACUCCUUGUUAAAACUGUGUUUAUGGAAGACAAUCUUACUCGGCUACGAGGGAUCGCCGAAGAAGAAGAAGAAGGGGGUGGGGCUAGGCCUGCUUAUUGACAGGGGGCUCUGGAGGCAGAGAAAUUAAUAAUAAUGAUGAUGAUGAUAGUAAUAAUAAUAAAAGGUCGGGAAGGGGGGCUGGGUGGGGGCCUGUGUGGCCACCUACCUGCUUAUGUCAAGGCGGAGACUGCAGCCUUUAGGGGAUCAUGAGGAGAACUUUUGAAAACGGUCCUGUUGGAACUUGUAGUGCUUUUUUCUAUAAGCAUACGGUAGUUUUAUUGAUUUCCAAUACGUAACAACAAUUACAAUCUACAGAAUAGAUUUCUUCUAUGGCAUGUUGUUAGUAGUUCUUGAACUACCCUGAGAUCUGUGGGUAUAGGGCGGUAUACCCAUUGUAGUAGUAGUAAUAAUAAUAAUAAUUAAAAAAUAAUUAUUACAUGGAAAAGAAAAAUGAAAGGACAACAUCCCAAUGUUCCCUGCUCCAGGCUAGAUCAAUCUAUUUAAGUGUGCCUAAGUCCAGUCUGUGACUUCAGUAGCAGCUGUCCUUAAGGUUUAUCAGUAAAGUCCUUUGUAAAAGGACGCCAUGUUUCAACAAAAUUGUCUACAUCAUUUGCAUUAUUCAAUAUAUGUAAUCGCUUGGUUAAUAUUUCAGAUACGGCGAUGGACCAUACAUUCCAUUUCCAAGGAGAAACGCACAGAUGUUGCAAUCUGUGCCACUAGUAGGCGUCCUGCUACUAAAAUAAAAGUAAUUUGUUAUUUGCAGUAAA
Molecule: non-coding RNA, 2185 nt
Organism: Podarcis lilfordi (Lilford's wall lizard)
Lineage: Eukaryota; Metazoa; Chordata; Lepidosauria; Squamata; Lacertidae
Source: the annotation of a GenBank genome assembly